Molecule: microRNA precursor, 61 nt
Filed under: Adineta vaga
Lineage: Eukaryota; Metazoa; Rotifera; Eurotatoria; Adinetida; Adinetidae
Description: microRNA mir-71
Rfam family: mir-71 microRNA precursor family
Source: RNAcentral
UGAAAGACAUGGGUAGUGAGAUGUUUUUUUAUUUCGAUUUCAUCUUACUAGUCUGUCUUUC